This 696-nucleotide ribosomal RNA is filed under the name uncultured bacterium. RNAcentral describes it as "bacterial SSU rRNA". It matches the Rfam family "Bacterial small subunit ribosomal RNA", at positions 32 to 715 of the family's 1533-position model. The record is from RNAcentral.
AACGCUAGCUACAGGCUUAACACAUGCAAGUCGAGGGGAAACGACAUCGAAAGCUUGCUUUUGAUGGGCGUCGACCGGCGCACGGGUGAGUAACGCGUAUCCAACCUGCCCACCACUUGGGGAUAACCUUGCGAAAGUAAGACUAAUACCCAAUGAUAUCUCUAGAAGACAUCUGAAAGAGAUUAAAGAUUUAUCGGUGAUGGAUGGGGAUGCGUCUGAUUAGCUUGUAGGCGGGGUAACGGCCCACCUAGUCUACGAUGUCUAGGGGUUCUGAGAGGAAGGUCCCCCACACUGGAACUGAGACACGGUCCAGACUCCUACGGGAGGCAGCAGUGAGGAAUAUUGGUCAAUGGUCGGAAGACUGAACCAGCCAAGUAGCGUGAAGGAUGAAGGUUCUAUGGAUUGUAAACUUCUUUUAUACGGGAAUAAAACCUCCCACGUGUGGGAGCUUGUAUGUACCGUAUGAAUAAGCAUCGGCUAACUCCGUGCCAGCAGCCGCGGUAAUACGGAGGAUGCGAGCGUUAUCCGGAUUUAUUGGGUUUAAAGGGAGCGUAGGCUGGAGAUUAAGCGUGUUGUGAAAUGUAGAUGCUCAACAUCUGCACUGCAGCGCGAACUGGUUUCCUUGAGUACGCAUAAAGUGGGCGGAAUUCGUGGUGUAGCGGUGAAAUGCUUAGAUAUCACGAAGAACUCCGAUUG